CAGUCGCCGCGGUAAGACAGAGGAUGCAAGCGUUAUCCGGAAUGAUUGGGCGUAAAGCGUCUGUAGGUGGCUUUUCAAGUCCGCCGUCAAAUCCCAGGGCUCAACCCUGGACAGGCGGUGGAAACUACCAAGCUGGAGUACGGUAGGGGCGGAGGGAAUUUCCGGUGGGGCGGUGAAAUGCGUUGAGAUCGGAAAGAACACCAACGGCGAAAGCACUCUGCUGGGCCGACACUGACACUGAGAGACGAAAGCUAGGGGAGCAAAUGGGAUUAGAGACCCCGGUAGUCCCUGUCUCUUAUAC
This 301-nucleotide ribosomal RNA is filed under the name uncultured bacterium. Its description in RNAcentral is "partial 16S ribosomal RNA". It matches the Rfam family "Bacterial small subunit ribosomal RNA", at positions 509 to 807 of the family's 1533-position model. The record is from RNAcentral.